RNAcentral lists this ribosomal RNA (439 nucleotides) under uncultured bacterium. RNAcentral's name for it is "partial 16S ribosomal RNA". It matches the Rfam family "Bacterial small subunit ribosomal RNA", at positions 338 to 795 of the family's 1533-position model. The record is from RNAcentral.
CCUACGGGUGGCAGCAGUGGGGAAUAUUGCACAAUGGGCGAAAGCCUGAUGCAGCAACGCCGCGUGAGCGAUGAAGGCCUUCGGGUCGUAAAGCUCUGUCCUCAAGGAAGAUAAUGACGGUACUUGUGGAGGAAGCCCCGGCUAACUACGGUCCAGCAGCCGCGGUAAUACGUCGGGGGCUAGCGUUAUCCGGAAUUACUGGGCGUAAAGGGUGCGUAGGGGGUUUAUUAAGUCCGAGGUAAAAGGCUGGGGCUCAACUGUAGUAAGCCUUUGAAACUGGGGAUCUUGAGUGCAGGAGAGGAGAGCGGAAUUCGUGGUGUAGCGGUGAAAUGCGUAGAUAUUAGGAGGAACACCAGUUGCGAAGGCGGCUUUCUGGACUGUAACUGACGCUGAGGCACGAAAGCGUGGGGAGCAAACAGGAUUAGAUACCCUAGUAGUC